GACGAACGCUGGCGGCGUGCUUAACACAUGCAAGUCGAACGGUAAGGCCCCAGCUUGCUGGGGUACACGAGUGGCGAACGGGUGAGUAACACGUGGGUGACCUGCCCCGCACUUCGGGAUAAGCCUGGGAAACUGGGUCUAAUACCGGAUAGGACCGCACCGUGAGGGUGUGGUGGAAAGUUUUUCGGUGUGGGAUGGGCCCGCGGCCUAUCAGCUUGUUGGUGGGGUAAUGGCCUACCAAGGCGGCGACGGGUAGCCGGCCUGAGAGGGUGGACGGCCACAUUGGGACUGAGACACGGCCCAGACUCCUACGGGAGGCAGCAGUGGGGAAUAUUGCACAAUGGGCGGAAGCCUGAUGCAGCGACGCCGCGUGGGGGAUGACGGCCUUCGGGUUGUAAACUCCUUUCACCAUCGACGAAGGUUUUCUGACGGUAGAUGGAGAAGAAGCACCGGCUGACUACGUG
This 464-nucleotide ribosomal RNA is filed under the name uncultured bacterium. Its description in RNAcentral is "partial 16S ribosomal RNA". It matches the Rfam family "Bacterial small subunit ribosomal RNA", at positions 28 to 507 of the family's 1533-position model. The record is from RNAcentral.